UGUGAGUCAUUGCAGUAAUGCAAGGCAGACGGCUCAGUAACACGUAGUCAACCUACCCUAUAGACGGGGAUAACCUCAGGAAACUGAGGAUAAACCCCGAUAGAUCAUUAUGCCUGGAACGGUUUAUGGUCCAAAUGAUUCGUCGCUAUAGGAUGGGACUGCGGCCUAUCAGCUUGUUGGUGAGGUAAUGGCCCACCAAGACUAUUACAGGUACGGGCUCUGAGAGGAGUAGCCCGGAGAUGGGUACUGAGACACGGACCCAGGCCCUAUGGGGCGCAGCAGGCGAGAAAACUUUGCAAUGUGCGAAAGCACGACAAGGUUAAUCCGAGUGAUUCCUGCUAAAGGAAUCUUUUGUUAGUCAUAAUACCACUAACGAAUAAGGGGUGGGCAAGUUCUGGUGUCAGCCGCCGCGGUAAAACCAGCACCUCAAGUGGUCAGGAUGAUUAUUGGGCCUAAAGCAUCCGUAGCCGGCUUUGUUAGUUUUCGGUUAAAUCCAUAUGCUCAACAUAUGGGCUGCCGGGAAUACUGCAAAGCUAGGGAGUGGGAGAGGUAGACGGUACUCCGUAGGAAGGGGUAAAAUCCUUUGAUCUAUGGAUGACCACCUGUGGCGAAGGCGGUCUACCAGAACACGUCCGACGGUGAGGGAUGAAAGCUGGGGGAGCAAACCGGAUUAGAUACCCGGGUAGUCCCAGCUGUAAACUAUGCAAACUCAGUGAUGCAUUGGCUUGUGGCCAGUGCAGUGCCGCAGGGAAGCCGUUAAGUUUGCCGCCUGGGAAGUACGUACGCAAGUAUG
This 793-nucleotide ribosomal RNA is filed under the name uncultured archaeon. Its description in RNAcentral is "bacterial SSU rRNA". It matches the Rfam family "Archaeal small subunit ribosomal RNA", at positions 52 to 851 of the family's 1478-position model. The record is from RNAcentral.